This 367-nucleotide ribosomal RNA is filed under the name uncultured organism. Its description in RNAcentral is "bacterial SSU rRNA". It matches the Rfam family "Bacterial small subunit ribosomal RNA", at positions 526 to 896 of the family's 1533-position model. The record is from RNAcentral.
CGGAGGAUCCGAGCGUUAUCCGGAUUUAUUGGGUUUAAAGGGUGCGUAGGCGGUUAUUAAGUCAGGGGUGAAAGACGGCAGCUUAACUGUCGCAGUGCCUUUGAUACUGAUGAACUUGAAUGUACUUGAGGUAGGCGGAAUGUGACAAGUAGCGGUGAAAUGCAUAGAUAUGUCACAGAACACCAAUUGCGAAGGCAGCUUACUAAAGUAUGAUUGACGCUGAGGCACGAAAGCGUGGGGAUCAAACAGGAUUAGAUACCCUGGUAGUCCACGCCCUAAACGAUGAACACUCGAUGUUGGCGAUAUACGGUCAGCGUCUAAGCGAAAGCGUUAAGUGUUCCACCUGGGGAGUACGCCCGCAAGGGUG